Stegodyphus mimosarum is the source of this 73-nucleotide non-coding RNA. The record is from Rfam. Lineage: Eukaryota; Metazoa; Arthropoda; Arachnida; Araneae; Eresidae.
GCCUUCGUGGUGUAAAGGUCAGCACGCUCAGCUUGUAUUCGAGAGUUCCGUGGUUCGAAUCCCGGGGAGGGCA